RNAcentral lists this ribosomal RNA (504 nucleotides) under uncultured Glomus. RNAcentral describes it as "SSU rRNA". It matches the Rfam family "Eukaryotic small subunit ribosomal RNA", at positions 569 to 1077 of the family's 1831-position model. The record is from RNAcentral. Lineage: Eukaryota; Fungi; Glomeromycota; Glomeromycetes; Glomerales; Glomeraceae.
AGCAGCCGCGGUAAUUCCAGCUCCAAUAGCGUAUAUUAAAGUUGCUGCAGUUAAAAAGCUCGUAGUUGAAUUUCGGGAUCAAUACGUCGGUCGUGCUUCGGUACGUACUGGCGUCAUUGGUUUCUCCCUUCUGACGAACCAUGAUGUCAUUAACUUGGUGUCAUGGGAAAUCAGGACUGUUACUUUGAAAAAAUUAGAGUGUUUAAAGCAGGCUCACGCUUGAAUACAUUAGCAUGGAAUAAUGAAAUAGGACGUUUGAUUCUAUUUUGUUGGUUUCUAGGAUCGACGUAAUGAUUAAUAGGGAUAGUUGGGGGCAUUAGUAUUCAAUUGUCAGAGGUGAAAUUCUUGGAUUUAUUGAAGACUAACUACUGCGAAAGCAUUUGCCAAGGAUGUUUUCAUUAAUCAAGAACGAAAGUUAGGGGAUCGAAGACGAUCAGAUACCGUCGUAGUCUUGACCAUAAACUAUGCCGACUAGGGAUCGGAUGAUGUAAUUUUUAAUGACUC